Molecule: ribosomal RNA, 1252 nt
Filed under: Pedumispora rhizophorae
Lineage: Eukaryota; Fungi; Ascomycota; Sordariomycetes; Xylariales; Diatrypaceae
Description: eukaryotic LSU rRNA
Rfam family: Eukaryotic large subunit ribosomal RNA
Source: RNAcentral
ACAGCUCAAAUUUGAAAUCUGGCCUUCGGGUCCGAGUUGUAAUUUGCAGAGGAUGCUUUGGGCGCGGCGCCUUCCGAGUUCCUUGGAACAGGACGCCUUAGAGGGUGAGAGCCCCGUACGGUUGGACGCUAAGCCUAUGUAAAGCUCCUUCGACGAGUCGAGUAGUUUGGGAAUGCUGCUCUAAAUGGGAGGUAAAUUUCUUCUAAAGCUAAAUACCGGCCAGAGACCGAUAGCGCACAAGUAGAGUGAUCGAAAGAUGAAAAGUACUUUGAAAAGAGGGUUAAAUAGCACGUGAAAUUGUUGAAAGGGAAGCGUUUGUGACCAGACCUUGGCCCGGCGGAUCAUCUGGUGUUCUUCACCGGUGCACUUCGCUUGGCUCAGGCCAGCAUCGAUUUCCGCAGGGGGACAAAGGCCAUGGGAACGUAGCUCUCUUCGGGGAGUGUUAUAGCCCUAGGCGUAAUGCCCUUGCGGGGAUCGAGGUUCGCGCUCCGGCAAGGAUGCUGGCAUAAUGGUCAUCAACGACCCGUCUUGAAACACGGACCAAGGAGUCGAACAUUUAUGCGAGUGUUUGGGUGUUAAACCCUCACGCGGAAUGAAAGUGAACGGAGGUGAGAGCCCUCGGGUGCAUCAUCGACCGAUCCUGAUGUUCUCGGAUGGAUUUGAGUAAGAGCAUAGCUGUUCGGACCCGAAAAGAUGGUGAACUAUGCGUGGAUAGGGUGAAGCCAGAGGAAACUCUGGUGGAGGCUCGCAGCGGUUCUGACGUGCAAAUCGAUCGUCAAAUCUGCGCAUGGGGGCGAAAGACUUAUCGAACCAUCUAGUAGCUGGUUACCGCCGAAGUUUCCCUCAGGAUAGCAGUGUUGUAUUCAGUUUUAUGAGGUAAAGCGAAUGAUUAGGGACUCGGGGGCGCUAUAUUGCCUUCAUCCAUUCUCAAACUUUAAAUAUGUAAGAAGCCCUUGUUACUUGACUGAACGUGGGCAUUCGAAUGUAUCAACACUAGUGGGCCAUUUUGGUAAGCAGAACUGGCGAUGCGGGAUGAACCGAACGCGAGGUUAAGGUGCCAGAGUAGACGCUCAUCAGACACCACAAAAGGUGUUAGUACAUCUUGACAGCAGGACGGUGGCCAUGGAAGUCGGAAUCCGCUAAGGACUGUGUAACAACUCACCUGCCGAAUGUACUAGCCCUGAAAAUGGAUGGCGCUCAAGCGUCUCACCCAUACCUCGCCCUUAGGGUAGAAACGAGGCCCUAAGGAGUA